RNAcentral lists this long non-coding RNA (1807 nucleotides) under Serinus canaria (Common canary). RNAcentral describes it as "lncRNA (ENSSCAG00000002893.1)". The record is from RNAcentral. Lineage: Eukaryota; Metazoa; Chordata; Aves; Passeriformes; Fringillidae.
CACCUUAGGCUGCUCCCAUCCCUUGGCUAAAGAAAAUAAUUCUGACUCCACUCAGUUUUCUUUAACUGUUCAGUUGUCAUCUGAGAAAACCUCCCCUCUUCACAUUACAGCAGCUAAAGGAAUACUUGGAAUACCAAAGUAUUUUUUCGCAGUGAUUUCUUUUUAUCAUCUUGAUUCUCCAGUAAUUCAAAUUUGGAUCCGUCUGGUCUCAGGAUUGGAAAGCGACUCUCUGAGCAGAUCAAAUAUGUUUCUAAAAGUUCCAUUCUUCAUCUUCCUCAUCGGGAGCCUGCCUUUGGUAGCACUUGCUCAAGAAGCAAGCUCAGUUCUAGAAGGAGAAGAAAGUGCAACAAUUGAUUUCAGAGACAGAAAUGACACAGAAUUUGAAGAAUUUCCAACAAUUUUUGGAGAACUGAAGACCACAGAAAGUUCCUUCAUCCUGGAUGGAGAAAGUGAAAAUGCUACUGCUUAUGAAGUUAACACAGAAAGUGUUGAUGGUGAACGGAGUGGGGAACCAGAGAAAACUGAUGAAGGUGGUCUGGGAACAAUUGCACUGCUUGGAAUAAUUAUUGGAAUCAUUGUUGCAGUUGGAAUCCUUGCAGGAAUAAUAAUUGCAGUUGUAAGGAAGAUGUCAGGCAGGCCCUAAACACAGUUGAAACAAGCAACCAUGCCAUUCCAUGCUGGAAAAUAUAAGUGCUUCUUAUUUCAUACAAACUAAAGACUAUUCCUGUAUUUGUGUGAGAAGAUGAUCCAUGGAAAAUAUAGUCAAGAAAUUUCCGAUCUAUGGGGAUACCACACAAUUCUAAGGACCACCCUCACACCCCCCCGCUUGCACAGAGCAUGGAAUAUUUCAUAGGAUUUUUUAUUAACCAGAAUUUAACUAGAAGAAAAAGAUAUUGCAGUAAAAAAAAACCCUCCAGUAAAGAGAUGUACAUCUGAAAUGUGAUUUGCAGGUAUUAUAUGCUUGGGUUUUAAAUGCUACCAAAGAUUAUUUCACAUUACAUGAUAUGUAUUCUUUUAAAACAAAAAGUGGUUUUGCCUGGUUAAGUGCCCCUGGCAUGUUUAUCUACCACAUGAUGUAUCAAAAAGAAGGAAUUAGCUUCAGUGAGAACCAGUUAUUUACAAAGUAGAAAAAUACUGGAUAUUGAAAGCUAAAAUCUUUCCACUGCUGAUACAGAUUUUCUGCUCUUGAUAUUUAUGUUAUUUUGUGGCAAAAUAUGGUAGGUCUGGCUGGAACUGACCCACCAACUGAAAGCUUGCUCGUCUGACUGUGGCAUCAGGAAUUUCCUGCCUUCUCUUGUUGCAGAGACAUGCAGGAAUUGAAAUACACAUCCUGAAUUAAGGGGUGCUUGGAAAAUACCCAGUUUUGAUGGGUCACUUUAGAGCUGACGUGUAGAAGCUUUUGAAUUAGUGUACACUGUGUUUUCUCAUUGUGCCUGUCCCAUUUUCUGACUGUACAGCUGAUUUGUUUGACAACAUGUGCAACACCAGGUCGGAAUGUGUCACUGAGGGGUGAUGCAGCUUUGGAGUCUGCAGCUUUUCUGGGGCAUAUUUAGAGCAGCACAACCUGAAUGUACAGAGCUCAGAGCAAAGGCUUUGCAUGUCAAGUGACUGCAGUGCAUCAGGUUCCCUAAAUGCUAUGACACUUUAGUGUUUGGUGUAAAAAUCAUGAUAAUCAAUAUCAUCACCCAUUGCUAAAUUUGUCAGCUUAUCUGUGUUUGCUUUUUUUGUUAAUUUCAUGUGCCUUGAACUAUCAUAUCAAUGCAAGCUUUGGAAAUAAAAAUGAUAAUAUAAACUGUAUUAUUUUACA